This 481-nucleotide ribosomal RNA is filed under the name Neisseria elongata. RNAcentral describes it as "bacterial SSU rRNA". It matches the Rfam family "Bacterial small subunit ribosomal RNA", at positions 30 to 499 of the family's 1533-position model. Lineage: Bacteria; Pseudomonadati; Pseudomonadota; Betaproteobacteria; Neisseriales; Neisseriaceae. The record is from RNAcentral.
AUUGAACGCUGCGGCAUGCUUUACACAUGCAAGUCGGACGGCAGCGGGGUAGUGCUUGCACUACCGCCGGCGAGUGGCGAACGGGUGAGUAAUAUAUUGGAACGUACCGAGUAAUGGGGGAUAACCAAUCGAAAGAUUGGCUAAUACCGCAUACGCUCUGAGGAGGAAAGCAGGGGACCUUCGGGCCUUGCGUUAUUCGAGCGGCCAAUAUCUGAUUAGCUAGUUGGUGGGGUAAAGGCCUACCAAGGCGACGAUCAGUAGCGGGUCUGAGAGGAUGAUCCGCCACACUGGGACUGAGACACGGCCCAGACUCCUACGGGAGGCAGCAGUGGGGAAUUUUGGACAAUGGGCGCAAGCCUGAUCCAGCCAUGCCGCGUGUCUGAAGAAGGCCUUCGGGUUGUAAAGGUCUUUUGUUAGGGAAGAAAAAGGAGCGGUUAAUACCCGUUUCUGCUGACGGUACCUAAAGAAUAAGCACGGCCAA